This 1059-nucleotide long non-coding RNA is filed under the name Anser cygnoides (Swan goose). RNAcentral's name for it is "lncRNA (ENSACDG00005012698.1)". The record is from RNAcentral. Lineage: Eukaryota; Metazoa; Chordata; Aves; Anseriformes; Anatidae.
AUGGGAACAAAGUUAUUUUGCCUAGCUCUUCUACCUGGACUCCCAAACCCCUGUGCCAUCAGCACCGCUCGGAAGAGACUGAAAAACACUGCUAACAGCCAGCUACGAAGAGGUCGUGAGAACGAAUCGGUACCGCCUAGAAGUACGGAAAACGGGUUUAUCUUUGCACAGAGGUCCGAGCCGCUCCGAGAGCGCCCUGGCACUGCCCCAAGGGCAUUCCCGCGGCGCUGCCCAACGCCACCAGGCUUCGGGGUCCCCCCUCGCGCACCCCCGCUGACGGCACUCCGCCAGCAGCAGCCGCGAGGAGCGGAGCCCCCUCGGAGCGGAGCCCCCUCGGGGCCGGGUCCCGCCCCGGCUCCGCGCCCAACUUCUCCCCGAGGCUCGGGGGGGUCCCGGGGCGCCACUUACCGCCGGCAGCCGCGGGCGGGGAGCGGCGGGGAAGCCCGGCGGGGGCAGGCGGCGGCGGCGGCGGCAGAGCAGGCCGAGCAGGGCGCCCAGCGCGGCGGCGGCGGCGGCGCAGCCCGCGUNNNNNNNNNNNNNNNNNNNNGGCCGGGUCCCGCCCCGGCUCCGCGCCCAACUUCUCCCCGAGGCUCGGGGGGGUCCCGGGGCGCCACUUACCGCCGGCAGCCGCGGGCGGGGAGCGGCGGGGAAGCCCGGCGGGGGCAGGCGGCGGCGGCGGCGGCAGAGCAGGCCGAGCAGGGCGCCCAGCGCGGCGGCGGCGGCGGCGCAGCCCGCGUAGAGGGCGAGGCGGAGCAGCGGCAGGGCCAGGCAGAGCGGCCCGCAGCCCCCCGCCUCCUGCCGGCCCAGGUAGGCGACGGACACGGCCAGCAGCGCCAGCCCCGCCGCCAGCACGAAGCGGGACGCGCCGGGGUCCCCGUCCUCUUCGUCUUCAGCCGCCUCCUCCUCCUCCUCGCCGCUGCGGCUGCUGUGCGAGCACGGAGGGGGGGCGGCGGCGGCGACCCCCGGCGCCUCGGGCUGCCCGGCCGUGCCGCUAGCGCUGUCGGCAGCGGGGAACAUGCUGCUCGGGGCGCCGCGGGCACGCAGCGCAUCUCCCGCUAG